Molecule: long non-coding RNA, 346 nt
Filed under: Homo sapiens (human)
Lineage: Eukaryota; Metazoa; Chordata; Mammalia; Primates; Hominidae
Description: HSALNT0126755
Source: RNAcentral
CACUGACUGAGAACAAUCAAACCCUUCACAAUCUAGAACCUGGAGAUUCUGAGAACAUCAGAGAAAGACCGCCCUUGCCACUCAUACUUCAGCAAAACUUUGGCACCUUGGACCUUGGGUUCAUAAUCUCACAACUCAGAAGGACCCCUCCAGACUCUUAGAACUGUAUACCCCUUGGAGAUGGAUUCUGCAGCCAGCUUUACACAUGGACAAUCUCAUGCCUUGACAGAUGGACUUUAUCAUGGAAGUAGCAAGCUGAAGACCCAAACAGGAAACACCAUUAAUACUAUCAAGUGGUUAUCAUAUCAUUUGUGACAUAUACAGACAAGCUAUGAGAGUGAAUGUA